GCCUGGGUGGCUCAGUCGGUUAAGCUUCUGACUUGGGCUCAGGUCUUAUCUCACUGUUUGUGAGUUCGAGCCCCACAUCAGGCU
This 84-nucleotide transfer RNA is filed under the name Felis catus (domestic cat). It matches the Rfam family "tRNA". Rfam says of the family: Transfer RNA (tRNA) molecules are approximately 80 nucleotides in length. Lineage: Eukaryota; Metazoa; Chordata; Mammalia; Carnivora; Felidae. The record is from Rfam by way of RNAcentral. RNAcentral also lists the same sequence under 4 other names.